Molecule: ribosomal RNA, 468 nt
Filed under: uncultured bacterium
Lineage: Bacteria
Description: partial 16S ribosomal RNA
Rfam family: Bacterial small subunit ribosomal RNA
Source: RNAcentral
GACGAACGCUGGCGGCGUGCUUAACACAUGCAAGUCGAACGGAAAGGCCCUGCUUUUGUGGGGUGCUCGAGUGGCGAACGGGUGAGUAACACGUGUGUAACCUGCCCUUGACUUUGGGAUAACUUCAGGAAACUGGGGCUAAUACCGGAUAGGAGCUCCUGCUGCAUGGUGGGGGGUGGAAAGUUUCGGCGGUUGGGGAUGGACUCGCGGCUUAUCAGCUUGUUGGUGGGGUAGUGGCUUACCAAGGCUUUGACGGGUAGCCGGCCUGAGAGGGUGGCCGGCCACAUUGGGACUGAGGUACGGCCCAGACUCCUACGGGGGGCAGCAGUGGGGAAUAUUGCACAAUGGGCGGACGCGUGAUGCGGCAGCGCCGCGUGCGGGAUGACGGCCUUCGGGUUGUAAACCGCUUUCGCCUGUGACGAAGCGUGAGUGACGGUAAUGGGUAAAGAAGCACCGGCUAACUACGUG